UACGUAGGGAGCAAGCGUUGUCCGGAAUCAUUGGGCGUAAAGCGCGUGUAGGCGGCCACGCAGGUCCGCUGUGAAAACUCGAGGCUCAACCUCGAGAUGUCGGUGGAAACCGCGUGGCUAGAGUCCGGAAGAGGAGAGUGGAAUUCCCGGUGUAGCGGUGAAAUGCGCAGAUAUCGGGAAGGACACCCAUGGCGAAGGCAGCUCUCUGGGACGGUACUGACGCUGAGACGCGAAAGCGUGGGGAGCGAACAGG
RNAcentral lists this ribosomal RNA (253 nucleotides) under uncultured bacterium. Its description in RNAcentral is "partial 16S ribosomal RNA". It matches the Rfam family "Bacterial small subunit ribosomal RNA", at positions 524 to 776 of the family's 1533-position model. The record is from RNAcentral.